ACGAACGCUGGCGGCACGCCUAACACAUGCAAGUCGAACGGUAGGUAUAGUUUACUAUACUGAGAGUGGCGGACGGGUGAGUAACGCGUGGGAACCUGCCCUGUAGUUUGGGAUAACCAUGGGAAACUAUGGCUAAUACCGGAUAAGCUCGAGAGAGGAAAGAUUUAUCGCUAUAGGAUGGGCCCGCGUCAGAUUAGGUAGUUGGUAGGGUAAUGGCCUACCAAGCCGAUGAUCUGUAGCUGGUCUGAGAGGAUGGCCAGCCACACUGGGACUGAGACACGGCCCAGACUCCUACGGGAGGCAGCAGUGGGGAAUAUUGGACAAUGGGGGAAACCCUGAUCCAGCGAUGCCGCGUGAGUGAAGAAGGCCUUCGGGUUGUAAAGCUCUUUCACCUGAGACGAUAAUGACGGUAUCAGGAGAAGAAGCACCGGCUAACUCUGU
Molecule: ribosomal RNA, 441 nt
Filed under: uncultured bacterium
Lineage: Bacteria
Description: bacterial SSU rRNA
Rfam family: Bacterial small subunit ribosomal RNA
Source: RNAcentral